Molecule: long non-coding RNA, 1723 nt
Organism: Alexandromys fortis (reed vole)
Lineage: Eukaryota; Metazoa; Chordata; Mammalia; Rodentia; Cricetidae
Exons: 4
Source: RefSeq, a predicted model, not a curated record
GGUUGAUGGGCAAAGUCGGUGAAGAGACUUACCUGCUGGACACGUGGAAAUUGUGGAAAGUUUAAUGGACCUACGUGGUCAAGAGAAAGCCAGUUCCCACAAGCUGUCGCCUCACCUCCACAUGUGCACAACUAUAUCUGCACCGUGCAGAUGAGGAAGUAAGCCUCCUGGUUCAUUGUUAAAUAUUUGAAUACUGAAACCAUGAGCUUACAAAAGCUCCAGGAAUCCAGGACACAACUUUUCCCUCAGAAUUACCUGAGAUUGGGUUCUGGACCUGAUACAUCAUCACCAUGGAGAUUUCAGUGUGUUUUUCCAAGGACGGUGUCCUGCAUCAGCAUGAGACAACAACCAAAGUUUUAGUUCCCGAACUUUGGAGGCCCUGGACUGACAUCCUAGAAGGAAGGAUUCCACUCUGCUCAUAACCUGGGACGGUGGCUGGUAUUAGCAGUUCAUUGCUAACUCUGGAUUUUCUGAGUCCCAUCUUUUUCCGUGGCCAGAGAACUGCAGAACUGACCGGGGUCCCACCAACUCUGGCUGUGAAUGCUACUGUUUGCUGGCUAGAGUCUGACAUACUUCUGAGGAACGUAGAAAAAACAGUUCUUGCUAUUCUGAGUAAAAAAAUGGUCAGUGGUCCCAAAUAUAAAACAGUCUACUUAUAAAGCUGAAGCCUAGGAGCCAUGUUGGUUUCUAAACCACAACAUUUCACUACACAAACUCUCCUGCUGGGGUGCCUAGGGAGUUGCUACCUUCCACAGCCCAGCUCCAUCUUAUUCCCCACUAAGUAUAACUUACCAAUUCAGACUAUCUGCUCCAGGGACAGAGCUACAAGUGUGAGGGUAAUGGGGAGCAGAGCAAAGAGAAUAUGGCUGAGAAUGGGGGUUCUUUGGGGACACGGUUCAUAUCCGAAUCUCUUUAUGUCCUCGAGGAAGAGUAGAUGAUACCAAUCAGAAGCAUCGAUGAGGGCAGGAGACAGGAAAGAGCGACUUCUGUAGCUUCUACGCGGUUCAUCUUCCCUUAGCCACCAUUCAUACCAUCAUUUCCCAAGUCCCCAGUUUAGAGCUCUCCACGAGAGGUCAGAAGGCUCCAAACUCAAUUCUGCUUCCACAUUAGACUUCAGGAGCUCGGGAUCUAUUUUUAGAACUAAUUUGUUUAGAACUAAUGGUCCCUCUAACCGCACAGCACCCACACUUCUACCCUGGCCCUGCCUCCAUUGCCCAGGAAGCCUUUUCUCUGCUUCCCUGAGAUGUACCAGCUGUUGCUGCAAGUUCCUUCGUGUGCAUCAAGUGCACAGCUACAGAACAGCUAGCAUCUGUCUAUAUUCCUGACAGUGACAUUAAGAGGAUAUUUUGAGGUUACAAGUGUCUCCUGUGAGGGACCACAAAAGCACUAUGUAACAGUUGAUCCUUUCCUCUCGUUUUCAUGACCACACAGACUUGUACUCUAACAUGUAAACUGGUGAGUCUCUCAACUAGAUUUUUGACCUUAAAAUUCCUAAAGUCAAAUGCAAGCGGCUGUAAACUUCUCCACCAAGGACUCUCUGAAUUCUAUGGGCCCCGCAACUACAUUUUGCCUAGGAGAAAUGAAAGCACCAAGGGAUGAGGCGUCAAGCCCUGCAAACUGAACUCCAGUGAUCGGCUUAUAACAGGACAACCGUCCUAACCUGGAAGGACUCCCUCCUCUUCAGUUACCAACCCACCCAGGGAAGGGACCAUGGAGAAGGUUC